UGGGGAAUAUUGCACAAUGGGCGCAAGCCUGAUGCAGCAACGCCGCGUGAACGAUGAAGGUCUUCGGAUCGUAAAGUUCUGUUGCAGGGGAAGAUAAUGACGGUACCCUGUGAGGAAGCCCCGGCUACCUACGUGCCAGCAGCCGCGGUAAUACGUAGGGGGCUAGCGUUAUCCGGAUUUACUGGGCGUAAAGGGUGCGUAGGUGGUCUUUCAAGUCGGUGGUUAAAGGCUACGGCUCAACCGUAGUUAGCCUACGAAACUGGAAGACUUGAGUGCAGGAGAGGAAAGUGGAAUUCCCAGUGUAGCGGUCAAAUACGUAAAAAUUGGGAGGAAAACCAGUAGCGAAGGCGGUUUGCAAUACUGAAAAUAACACUGAGGCACGAAAGCGUGGGUAGCAAACAGG
RNAcentral lists this ribosomal RNA (403 nucleotides) under Verrucomicrobiota bacterium. RNAcentral's name for it is "Verrucomicrobia bacterium partial 16S ribosomal RNA". It matches the Rfam family "Bacterial small subunit ribosomal RNA", at positions 355 to 776 of the family's 1533-position model. Lineage: Bacteria; Pseudomonadati; Verrucomicrobiota. The record is from RNAcentral.